ACAAAAGACUGAUGUCCGGAGAGGAGAGCCGUGCUGGAGACGGACACUUGAAACCCUUGAAAAUGGAAGACGUCACCGAUCCCCUAAAGAGAGAAUGGAGAAAGGAAAGAAGGGAACCUGGCUCCAGACCCGAAGAGCCUCAGCCUAGCAUUAGAGUGAUUUUUACGUGCCAUUUACUGCCGUGCUCCCUUGAGCAUGGGAAUACCUGCAAGACAAGGAGGGGCCUUCACAGGCAGAGGCGUCAGGGUCAGAACCGUGGAGUGGCCUCGGUGCUGCAGAGGAAGGAUGUCAACCACGGGCGUCUUCGUUUUGGAAAUUGGAGACAUCUUCCCAGGGUCAAAGGAGCCCAGAGAUGGAAGCCAGAUGACUCAACUCCGGAUUGGGGAGGGAUUUCCUUAAAAGACCUCUCAGUUUGUGGGAGCACAGACCAACAUGACCGUGUACCAUACAUGCUCAUCACGCCUGGCUACCCUGAUGUUCUCAGACUCCCAGCCGCUCUGCAGAAAGUGGAGGCUAAACAAAAUCAUCUUCCCUCCCACCGUGGCUCUUGUUCAAUAAAACCAAC
RNAcentral lists this long non-coding RNA (565 nucleotides) under Homo sapiens (human). Its description in RNAcentral is "non-protein coding lnc-ITGB2-5:1". The record is from RNAcentral. Lineage: Eukaryota; Metazoa; Chordata; Mammalia; Primates; Hominidae.